This 61-nucleotide transfer RNA is filed under the name Cricetulus griseus (Chinese hamster). It matches the Rfam family "tRNA", at positions 7 to 64 of the family's 71-position model. Rfam says of the family: Transfer RNA (tRNA) molecules are approximately 80 nucleotides in length. Their secondary structure includes four short double-helical elements and three loops (D, anti-codon, and T loops). The record is from Rfam by way of RNAcentral. Lineage: Eukaryota; Metazoa; Chordata; Mammalia; Rodentia; Cricetidae.
GUGGCUCAGUGGGUAAGAGCACUUGCUGUUCAAGCAAGAGGAUCUGAGUUCAAACCCCAGC